Molecule: long non-coding RNA, 14472 nt
Filed under: Homo sapiens (human)
Lineage: Eukaryota; Metazoa; Chordata; Mammalia; Primates; Hominidae
Description: non-protein coding lnc-AK5-1:5
Source: RNAcentral
AUCCGCGCCUCUUCGAGGUGGCCCUCUGGUCCGGCUUUAGAACUCUGCGGUUUUGUGGAGCUCGAGAGUCCGGGACAAGGUAGACGCAGGAUAUUGACCUUUUUAUUUUUAACUGCAUUUUCAGUUUGGAGGUUGUAAAAUAGGUAUAACAUUUAAGAAAAAAAAUUGAAAGGUGAGUGGAGGGAAAACCCGUAACUCCUUAAACUUUAAAAACUUAUUUCUCUGUUCCCUUAUUUAUUUUAUUUAUUUAUUUAUUUAUUUAUUUAUUUAUUUUGCCGAGUGCUGCCAAUUCUUUGAAAAUAUGAAGCUGGAUGUGGUGGGAAGAACAAGCGUUUUGGCACAAAAAGAUGAUUAAUUGGAUAAACUAUAAAUGGAAAAUGUGGGUGGGCGCUGCAAUUUAGAGGCUUGGGGUCUACUACCUGGUGAAAGGAUUAACAUGGGAAGCUAGUUACGUUUUUGUUUCUUGAGUAUCUUCUGUAAUUAUGGAACUAAAGCCUAUCUGGAAGAGACACAGCUGGUGUAUAUGUAUGGUCCACCAUUCUCUUUAUUAUGUGAGUUCAGUUUUAAUUUAUGCAUUUCAUCUAGUAUGACAUAAACGUUUCCACGCUGCUUCCUCACAAUUUUAACAUUUAAUGGUGAGAUAAAAUUCCAUCCAUUAUUGAUGCCUCAGCCAAAGUAAUUGUCCCUCUGCUGCACAAUGCAAAGUUUUUAAGUUUUACUAUGAAAAUAAUAUUGUAAAGAGUAUCUUUUGUGUGUUUGGCUUUUUAAAUCUGUUGAAUUAUUUUGUUUGUAUAAUUUUCCUGAACUAGGAAUUUGGGGUCAAAAUAUUCCAAAACAUUUUAAUAACUAUAAAUGAUGUUGCUUUCCAAAAUGAACAAGCUUACAGCACUAUCAGAAUACACAACACCAAACCAUACCAUUUUUUUUCCUUUAAAUUCUUUGGUAUGAAAUGUUACCCCUAGGUAACUAUACUUAUAAUUCUUUGGUUACUAUCAAGAUCUGAUGUCUUUCUUGUGUUUCUAAACUAUCUCUGUGUCCUCUGAUGUAAAUUCUUUGUUUAUAUAUUUAUGUUUUGCAUAUGAAUUUGAAUAAUAUAUUUAUAAAUAAGUAACAUUAGCCUUUGCCAUAUUUUAUGCUAUUGCUUUUCCCAUUCUCUUGUCUCUCUUUUCCUUUUAUUUGUUUCUUUUGCUAUUGCACUUUGUGAGAGGUUUCAUGCUAUUUAGUCAAAUUUAGGUUUUCCGUUACGUGAAUCCUAGAAAGUAAAUACACUGCCAGAAUAUCUUCCAUGUAUUCAUUAAUUCAACAGAUAUCUAUUGGAUGCUGAUGAUUAUGAAACAAAGUAGCAAAGAUAAGAAGCCAUUUGCUCAUUCUGCUCCUUUGCCAGCAAUAUUUCACAAAGCCCCUGACUCAUUGACUGUGAGCAGCCUUGUGGAAGAAUGCCUUGAAGACCAUAAGCAGGAUAGGGAAUAGGUUUGCACAUCUCUUGCCUGAAUCACUGAAUUUUUACAAAAGGUAAGUUUGGUGAUCCUAGCCCUUGCCUCUUCCUGUACAUAAGAUAAUGUCUGACAAGAUUAAUGAUUAUGCCUCAAAUUCAUGACCAGAUGUAACUUCAUACCCACACUUUGAUGAGACUUUACUUGUAUUAACCCAUUUUCAUACUGCUAUGAAGAAAUACCCAAGACUGCAUAAUUUCUAAAGAAAAAGGCUUAGUGGACUCACAGUUCCACAUGGCUGGGGAAGCCUCACAAUCAUGGUAGAAGAUGAAGAAGGAGCAAAGGCACAUCUUACAUGGCAGCAGGUGAGAGAGCAUGUGCAGAGGAACUACCCUUUAUAAAACCAUCAGAGGCCAGGUGCAGUGGCUCACACCUGUAAUCCUAGCACUUUGGGAGGCCGAGGCAGGCAGAUCAUCUGAGGUCAGGCAUUCAAGACCAGCCUGGCCAACAUGGCAAAACCCCAUGUUUCAAAAUUAGCUCAGUGUGGGGGCACAUGCCUGUAAUACCAGCUACUAGGGAGGCUGAGGCAGGAGAAUCGCUUGAACCUGGGAGGCAGAGGUUGCAGUGAGCCAAGAUCACGCUACUGUACUCCAGCCUGGGCAACAGAGCCAGACUUUGUCUCAAAAAAUAAAAUGAAAUAAAAUAAAAAUAAAUAAAUAGAUAGAUAAAUAAAACCAUCAGAGCUCGUGAGAACUCACUACCAUGACAACAUGAGGGUAACUGAUCCCAUAAUUAAAUUACUUCCCAUCAGGUCCCUCCCUUGACACUUGGGGAUUAUGGGAGCUACAAUUCAAGAUGAGAUUUGGGUUGGGACACAGCCAAACCAUAUCAUUCCACCCUGGCCCCUCCAAAAUCUCCUGUCCUCACAUUUCAAAAGCAAUCAUGCCUUACCAGCAGUCCCCCAAAGUCUUAACUCAUUUCAGCAUUAACUCAAAAGUCUACAGUCCAAAGUCUCAUCUGAGACAAGGCAAGUCCCUUCUGCCUAUGAGCUUGUAAAAUCAUAAGCAAGUUAAGUUACUUCCUAAAUACAAUGGGGGUACAAGCAUUGGGUAAAUACACCCAUUCCAAAUGGGAGAAAUAGGCCAAAAUGAAGGGACUACAGGGCCCAUGCAAGUCCAAAAUCCAGCAGGGCAGUCAAAUCUUAAAGCUCCAAAAUGAUCUGCUUUGACUCCGUGUCUCACAUCCAGUUCACGUUGAUACAAGAGGUAGGUUGCCAUGGUCUUGGGCAGCUCUGCCCCUGUGGCUUUGCAAGAUACAGCCUCCUUCCCAGCUGCUUUAACAGGCUGGCAUUGAGUGUCUCUGGCUUUCCCAGGCAUAUGCUGCAAGCUGUUGGUGGAUCUACCAUCCUGGGGUCUGGAGGAUGGUGGCCCUCUUCUCACAGCUCCACUAGGCACUGCCCCAGUGGGGACUCUGUGUGGGGGAUCCCACCCCACAUUUCCCUUCUGCAUUGCCCUUCUGCCUUAGCAGAGGUCGUGCAUGAGGGCCCUGCCCCUGCAGCACACCUCUGCCUGAACAUCCGGGUGUUUCCAUACAUCCUCUGAAAUCUAGGCAGGGUUCCCAAACCUCAAUUCUUGACUUCCGUGCACCCACAGUCCCAAUAUCACAUGUGAGCAGCCUGAGACUGCACAAAGCAGCAAGGCCCUGGGCCCAGCCCAUAAACCCAUUUUUCCUCCUUGGCCUCCUGGCUUGUGAUGAGAGGGACUUCCAGGAAGACCUCUUACAUGCCCUGGAGACAUUUUUCCCAUUGUCGUGGUAAUUAACAUGUGGCUUCUUGUUACUUAUGCAAAUUUCUGCAGCAGGCUUGAAUUUCUCCGCAAAAAAUGGGUUUUUCUUUUCUAUCACGUCAUCAGGCUGCAAGUUUUCCUUUUAUGCUCUGCUUCCUCUUGAACGCUUUGCCACUUAGAAAUUUCUUCCCUCAGGUACCCUAAAUCAUCUCUCUAAAGUUCAAAGUUCCACAGAUAACUAGGGCAGGGGCAAAAUGCCACCAGUCUCUUUGCUAAAGCAUAGCAAGAGUGACCUUUAUUCCAUUUCCCAACAAGUUCCUCAUCUCCAUCUGAGACCACCUCAGCCUGGACUUCUUUGUCCGUAUCCCUAUUAGCCUUCUGAUCAAAGCCAUUCAACAAGUCUCUAGGAAGUUCCAAACUUUCCUACAUCUUUCUGUCUUCUGAGCCCUCCAAGUCUCUAGGAAGUUCCAGAGUUUCCCACAUUUUCCUGUCUUCUUCUGAGCCCUCCAAACUGUUCCAACCUCUGCCUGUUACCCUGUUCCAAAGUUGCUUCAACAUUUUCUGUUAACCUUAUAGCAGAGCCCCACUACCUCAGUUCCAAUUUACUGUAUUAGUCCAUUUUCAUACUACUGUGAAGAAAUAGCCAAGACUGGGUAAUUUAUAAAGAAAAAGAGGUUCAGUGGACUCACAGUUCCACAUGGCUGGGGAGGCCUCACAAUCGUGACAGAAGGCAAAGGAGGAGCAAAGACACAUCUUACCUGGCAGCAAGGCAAGAGAGAGAGCAUGUGCGGAGGAACUGCCCUUUAUGAAACCAUCAGAUUUCCUGAGAUUUAUUCACUAUCAUGAGACCAGCAGGGGAAAAACUUGCCCCCAUGAUUAAAUUACUUCCCACCGGGUCCUACCAUUGACACAUGGGGAUUAUGGGAGCUACAAUUCAAGAUGAGAUUUGAGUGGGGACACAGCCAAACCAUGUCAUUAAUGUAAUUUCUGAGCACAUUUGAUGUAACUUCUUAACACAUGCAGAGCAACCACCACCUAUGUUUAAGCUAUGGGGUGAAUCAAUGCUUUGCAGCAAUAUAACAAACUCUUUGAAAGAUUCUCCCAGGUUGCAGUACUCAGUAGGACUUCUGAAUAAAAUUAACUUUAAUUAUUUAAAAGCCUGUUUUUUUUUCUUUAGUUGACAUAACAUACCAGGAUAUUGUAGCUGGAAAUACAUAGGAGGUUCUUGCUCUCACGAACCUUACAUUCCAGUAAGGAAAACAGACAAUAAGAAAAAAGAAAAAUGAAUACAAUAAAUUCUCAUGGUGAUACAAAUAAGGUAAGAUGACAGAAACUGAAGGGAGAGGGAGACACUACUUCAGUGAGGUGGUCAGUGAAAACCUCUCUGCAAAGGUGGUGUGAAAUCUGAGACCUGAAUGACAAGAAAGAACUAGCGAUGCAAACAUCUGCGGGUGGCACAUUUCUAAUAUUUAUUUUUUACUAGUUUUAUUUUGUGUUAAUUUUACGUUUAACUAUCUGGAAUAUAUUUUGGUACAGGAGUCCCCCUUAUCCAAGGGGGAUAUGUAUCAAGCCCCCCAGUGGAUACCUGAAAUCACAGAUAGCGCUGAACCCUAUAUGUACUGUUUUUUCCUACAUAUAUGUAUCUAUGAUAAAGUUUAAUUUAUAAAUUAGGCAUAGUAAGAUAUUUACAAAAAUAAUAAUAAAAUUGAACAGUUAUAACAAUAUACUGUAUAAAUCUUAUGUGAAUGUGAUCUCUCUCUCUCUCAAAAUCUGCCAUACUUACCUAUUGCCAGACCACAGUUGACCAUGGCUAACUGAAAUCAUGGAAAGCAAAACCACAAAUAGGGAGGGCUACUGUAUGUUCUAUAAGAUAAUAUGUGAAUUGUCUAUUGCUACAUAACAAACCACCCAAAACUUUGUGAUGUGUCCAAGCCCAAGGAUGCAAGGUUUCCAAGCUUCCAGAUCCCAAGGAUACCAGGAAACAGGAUUCCCAGGAGGCCAUUGCUAUAAUGAUCUACCACUAUUUUUACCAAAACUGGUAUUUGUAUUAGGCUGUUCUCCCAUUGCUGUAAAGAAAUACCUGAGACUGGCUAAUUUGUAAAGAAAAGAGGUUCCAUAGGCUGUACAGGAAGCAUGAUGCUAGCAUCUUCUCAGCUUCUGGGGAAGCCUCAGGAAACUUACAAUCAUGGUGGAGGGCAAAGUGGGAGUCAGUACGUCACAUGGCCAGAGCAGUGAGAGAGGAGGGAGGUGAUACACACUUUUUAAAUGGCCAGAUGUCAGGAGAACUCACUAUCCUGAGGACAGUACCAAGGGAGAUGCUGCUAAACCAUUCAUGAGUAAUCCACUCAUCCACCACCACGAUCCAAUCACCUCCCACAAGGCCCCACCUCCAAUAUUGGGGAUCACAACCCCACAUGAGAUUUGGGUGGGGACACAGAUUCUGUAUCAGUGUUGUUAUUCAAAAAAUUUUGUACAUAGUCCUUACCUUUCCCAUUUCCUUGUGAUAUUCCUUUAUGAAAUUGUUAGAAGAAAUAGAAUAUUUCAGCUGGGUGCAGCCGGUAAUCCCAGCACUUUGGGAGGCUGAAGCGGGUGGACCAUAUGAGACCAGGAGUUCUGAGAUCAGCCUGGCCAACAUGGCGAAACCCCAUCUCUACUAAAAAUACAAAAAUUAGCUGGGCGUGGUGGUACAUGCCUAAAAUACCAGCUACUUGGGAGGCUGAGGCACGAGAAUUGUUUGAACCUGGGAGACAGAGGUUGCAGUGAGCCAAGAUCGCACCACCGCACUCCAACCUGGGCAACAGAGCGAAACUGUCUCAAAAAAAAGAAAAAGGCGGUAUUUCUAGGUAUUCUGUUCCUUCUACACAACUAUUUUGAGGCCAGUGCCAUGUUAAUUAUUGUUGCUUUUAAUAUGUCCUAAUAUUUAACCAUUAGGGCUAACCAUUUUGCUAUUUCAUUUUUCACAAAAUUAUUGAUUUCACCUGAAAAUUUUCUAACCAAAUUUUACACAAAUUUGUUCAAGUUAAAAGAAAUGCUACUUGGAUUUUUAGUGGGAUUAUACAAAAUCUAUUAAUAAGUUUAAUAGAAACUGACAUCUUUAUAUUUACUCUUCUCAUCUGAGAACAUGGAGAUCUAUUUAUUUGAGAGAUUUUAAAAAAUUAUUUUUGGCCAGGCACAGUGGCUCACGCCUGUAAUCCCAGCACUUUGGGAGGCUGAGGUGGGCAGAUUGCCUGAAGUCAGGAGUUCGAGACCAGACUGGCCAACAUGGUGAAACCCCAUCUCUACUAAAAAUACAAAAAAUUAGCUGGGCGUGGUGGUGUGCACCUGUAGUCCCAGCUACUCAGGAUGCUGAGGCAGGAGAAUUGCUUGAAUCCGGGAGGCGGAGGCUGCAGUAAGCCAAGAUUGCGCCACUGCACUCCAGCCUGGCGACAGAAUGAGACUCCAUCUCAAAAAAAAAAUUAUUUUCAGUAAAACUUUAAGCCACAGAUAUCGAUGAUUAAACUAUUUCCUAAGUAUUUUUAACAUUCGUUAAAACACUUAAUGUAUUUUUUUAUUUGGUAGGAAAUAUAUAAAAAUUAUUAUAUAUGUGUGUAAUAUCUGUAAUAUUCAUUAUAUAUUCAAAUCAGUUAUUGCCAAUAUACAGAUCAUAUUUCAUGUCCAACUGUUCUUUCAUUAUUUUAAUAAGAAUUAUUUUAAUAAUGAAAAUUAUUUAAAAACUUUUGUUCAACAGACUGGACUUUUCUAGUUCUACAAUGUCUGUCAAUUAUCUUUUUGUCCCUUUAUAGUAUUCUUUCUCGAUUUCUUUUUCACAGCUUGUUAUGGCUCAAUAUUUAUAAAGUUGAUAGCAAGUAGCUUUUUUUAUUUUGUUUUUGUUUUAAAAUUAAGGUUUUAGCAGCUUUUCAUUAAGUUUAUCAUUAGUUAUUGGAUUAGAAUACUCAUUAUCAUGCUAAAGAAGUAGAUUUGUAUUCCUCUUUAUUUGUUUGUUUGUUUGUUUCAUUAAACUGCUGAUUUUCAAGUGCAGGAUAGAGGCAGCUUCCUACCUAAAUGAAGGACAUGAGCAGUUGUAAACACGAUUCAAUAUUGGAAAUAAUAAUUCCUUUUAUCUGUGAGUAUAUGAGAUAGCAUUGUUUAUAAUUUGUAUGGUUAGAAUUGUUAACCAUAGUCUGCGUUUAAACUAGAACUCAAUUUAGUUAUUCAUUAAUUUAUUAUUGAGAUAUUCAUUAAGUGAGUUAAUACAAUUUGGCAACUAAAACCAAAUAUGAGUAUUUGAUUGAUCAAAAUUACACACACACACACACACACACACACACACACACGCAUAUAUAUUUCUGGCUUCUCUAAUAAAAGUUUUUAUAACUGACCCUCACAGUAAGUCAUGCCACAAAGCCUAUCCAUGCUGUUUUUACUGUUGUUCUUCAAUCGAAUGACAACUUAAGAUUGACCCUACAGAAUCUAAGAUCACAAUUAGAUCACUCUUUAUUUUAUUCUUGCCCCCUCCUCUUACCUAUAUCCCUUCCAUAUCUUCUUUUUAAUUCUCUUUUUCCCUCUGCUUCCUUAUGCACCAGGAACACAAUUGUGUUACUCAUUCACUCAAUGAAUAUUUAUUAAGCACUAUGUACCAGGUAUUGUGCUAGGCACCAGCAAUACAGGAGAGAGCAAAAAUUGAACAAGUUCCUGGCCUUACAGAGCUCACACACAGUCCAGGGGAGCCAGACGUUAAUAAUAGAAGCAUUUAUAGAAAUGUAAAAUUCUAAUAGGAGACCAUUUAAGAAAAAUCAGAGUAAGUUUCUCUGAGGAAAUGGACUGAGCUGAAAUUAAUGAGUUAAUGAGGUAGAUACGGAGAAGAAGGAAGAGCUUUCAAGGCAGAGGAAACAGCCCUUCCAAAGACGUGUGGCAUAACAGAGCUUGGCUUAUUAGAGGAACUUACAGAAUUACACUGGUCUUGCAGUUCAGAAAACAAAGGGGAGAGUGCUAAAUUGCUAAGGGGAGAGGCUGAAUUGCUAAGCAGGUACCACCUCUCUCCAUGGACUUGUGGGUCAGGUUAGAUUUUGGUCUGUAUCCUAAGGGCAAAAGAAAGCAUCACAGUGGGAAAGAUUAUGUUGCUUCCAAUGAGGAGAACUGGGAAAUGCUUUAGGUACAGCAUUUAAAAGGCCACUGCCACAGUCCAGGCAAUGGUAGCUUAGACCAGAGUGUUAAGAGUGGAGAUGAAAAGUGGAGGGAACCAAUAGGGAUUUUAGAAUUACAACUCAAAGAACAUGAUGAUGGAUUAUAUUUGGGAAGUAAGAGAGAGGACAAUUUCAAGGACGACUUUUAAAUAUCUGGCUUGUACAACUGAAUGCAUGGCAGUGCCAUUUUUUAAAGCAUAGGAACCACAGGAAGUGGAGCAGGUUUAGGAUUUAUAUACAAGUGAAGUCUGGUUUAAAUAUUUAUCCAGAGCUAUUUGAAAGGAAAAUUUACAUAAACCUAUUAUAAAUACUUUUGUGACUGCUAAAUAAAUGUUGUUACAAAAUAAAAUAAGUGGAAAAGAUACAUUUAAUCAGGAUAAGAAUAUAGACCCUGAGAGAGAUUUUACAAUAUAUUUAAUACUAUAUAUUGCUAUAGGCAAUUCUGUUUGCUACAAAAAUCUGUGCCAAAACUAUUUUAUGGAAGCAUUUCAUAUCUAACAGUCAAAAUGUUUUUGGGGGCCGGACAUGGUGGCACACACCUAUAAUCCCAGCACUUUGGAAGGACAAAGCGGGUGGAUCACUUGAGGUCAGGAGUUCAAGACCAGCCCGGCCAACAUGAUGAAACCCCAUCUCUACUAAAAAUACAAAACUUAGCCAGGCAUGGUCGUGGGUGCCUGUAAUCCCAGCUACUCGGUAGGCUGAGGCACAAGAAUCGCUUGAACCUGGGAGGCAGAAGCUGCAGUGAGCCAAAAUCGUGCCACUGCAAUCCAGCCUAGGUGACAGAGCAAAACGCCAUCUCAAAAAAAAAUGGUUUUCAGAGCAAGGUAAAAUUCAGUAAAAGGAAAGUAUAUAUGUAAUAAAAUACAAGUAGAAAAAAGUAAGUAAAGCCAAAGGGCUUUCAUUCUAGUGUAUUUAUACCAUUUCCUUGUAUUUAUAUGUAUUUCCUAUCAUGAUCUUGAUAUUGCACCACCUUAAAUUCCUUUUCAGUUUGGCCUGAAAUACUUUUCUUCCCUCCUUCCAGUGAGCCAUUUAACAAUAGUUUGUUAUUCUGCUAUAAUCCAUUUCCAUCUCAUGACCUUCUCAUUAACUUCAGACUAAGCCAUAAUAACAGUGCUUCAAUACAAGAAUAGAGCAACUGCCCUUCAAAGUCUCAUUUUUUGAAAUCCUGUGCUAUUAUAAAAUGCCAUAAUGACCUGAACAUAAAGCCAUGUCAAAUGCUUUAGCAAUGUAAAACUUGCUGUCUCAUUAAGAGUAUAGUCCUCCAUUGUUAAACAAGAAACCACCAGCUCUGUUGGCAUAAAGCCAAUCAAUAGAGAGUUUAGUUCUACAUGAGGCUGAGAAUUUUCUACAAGUGCAAUUAAUUUUAUUCAGUUGAUUUUUAUUCAGUUGUACAUUGAUUUUAUUCGUUAAGCAUCUUGUGACACUCUGAAAUCCCAGGGACAUUUAGUAGAUAUUUUAAUCAUACCACAUAUUGUAAAGUAUGGGACAUCCUGAAAGAUCUCUCUUAGGAAGAUAUUAGAAUAAUGGAAAGGGUAGGGAGGAAUGUGUGUGUUUUAUAGAAAAUUGCUAGAAAUGUACCAUGGUAGGCAAAAUAGUGGCUCCCUGAAGAUGUCUAUGUCCUAAUCCCUAGAACUUGUGAAUAUGUUACCUUAUAUGGCAAAAGGGACUUUGCAAAUGUAUUAAAGUAAGGAUAUUGGGAUAAGGAGAUAAUAAUGACUUAUCUGGAUAGGCCCAAUGUAAUCACAGGGGUUCUUUUAAGAGGAGGGCAAGGGGGUCAGAGAAGAGAAAGAGAUGUGAAGACCAAACCAGUGGUCACAGUGAUGAAGGGCCACCAGCAAAGGCAUGUCUGUUGCUUCUAGAGGCUGGAAAAGACAAAGAAACUAAUUUUUCCCUAGAGUCUACAGAAGGAACACAGCUCUACCAAUCCAAUUUGGACUUCAGACCUUCAGAGGUGCCAGGUAAUACAUUUGCUUUAUUUUAAGCCACUAAAUUUGUGGUUACUUAUUAUGGUAGCAAUAGGAAACUAAUACAGGUACCUCAACUGUUAGCCGUGGUUACUCCCUAGAGGUUUGGAAAUGAAGAUCAGAGUUGAAGAGGACUUUUAUUCUCCAUUGUUCAUGUUAUUUGAACUGUUAUCAUGGAUUUAUGUUGGUUUUAUUAUGGAUCUAUAUUGCUUCUUAAAUAAAAAUAAUUAAGAGCAGAAGUAGCUAAUAUUAAGUGAAAAGAUAGUGUAGAAAAUUGUAUAAAGGGUAAUUGUUCAACCAUGAAAAAAUAGAAAAAAAAUAAGAAGGAAACUUACUAAAAUGUUAUCCAGUUGUUUUUCCUGAGUAUUAAGAGUGUGCAUGUUCUAUUUUCAUUUAUCCUCUGAGUCACUCAAGUUAUUCAUUAAGCAUCUACUCUGUGUUAAAGAAUGUGCUAGGAACUGAGAAUGCAGUGGGGAAUAAGAGAGACACAAUUUCUGCCCUCAUGGAACAAGGCAGAUUAAACAGAUGAUCAGACAAAUUAUUAAUUAAUUAUAUUGUAAUAAGUUCAAUAUAGGCAAGAUACAGACUGAAAUCACCAUGCACUAGGGCAACAUAACGUAGUCAGGGAAUGCUUUCCUAAGGAAUUUCAGCUUGGAAUUAAAUGAGAAUUUUCCAGUCAGAGACAGGAAAUAAAAUUUUUUACAAAGAGGACAUACCCCCUUUUUAUCAGGAGAAAAAUGAACAUUUUAAAUUUUUUUUAAAAAGAAAUAGUUAACAUUUCUCUAUCCUUUUAUAUCUGGUAACAGCAGCUGCUCAGUGCUGGAAAUGGUCUGCUUUUUCUGCUUGAUUUAGCCAAAUUCAGUUUAAUGAUCAGACUUUUUUUUCUCUUGUUCAAGCACUUCAGGCAAAUGAAAUAUUUAAGUGAAUAAAUUGAGGCCACUAGACAAAAAAGUAAAAUAAUAAUGGUUAAAUAUCUUCCGUAUCCAGAGCUCACAUUAUUAAACUAUUAGAUCUAAUACUUUUUGGUUGUCAAUCUAUCAAAAAAAGCUUGUGAUAGGCCCUUAAUAUUGAUUGACCUUGACAGAAAUAAGACCCGGUGUCUUUGCCAGUUGAAGUUCUGUUUUUAUCCAACCAAAACUAAGAAACACAAAUGAAGAAGCAAAGAACAAGAAUUAUUUUGAAAUCGACAUAAAAUGUAUCACUAAUCGAAUUUUUCUCAAAAGAAUUUCAUAGAUGAAAUCUGUAUCACUGGGUACUAAAAAUUAAGAAUUUCAAAUUUCUCAACUUUAGAAUCUUCUCUUAUAAUUUCCAGAUGAGUAGUAAUUUUCCAGAUGAUGGUUUGGGAUUACUUUCAGCACAAGAGCAGGGAGAAUAACAUCUCUGUAAUGAAUAGGCACUAAUGAUUUCAUAGUUAAUGAUUAACAUCUCUGGAAAAAAAAACAAAAUAAAAAUAGAGAGCCUAUUAAUAAAUGUCAUGCCACCAAAAAUCACUACGUGAAAUUACGUUAAAUUUUUUUUGUUAAAAAUUUUAUUUACUUGAUCCUUUUUGUUUGUUGUUUGCUUGCUUUCCAGUAUACUUAUGUGUCUGUAACACUUAGAGCAGUAAUGUCCUUUAAUGAAAAUCAGAAUAAAUAUGACUAUGUUUAACAAAAAAUGUAUCAUAAUGUAGAAUUGACUUACAAUGACAAUGAUGUAAUGAGAAGUUAUGUACUGUAUAUGACAGAGAUUACUAGGUAAAUUGCAAAUAGAAGAUACUAUAAACAUAUCAUUGAGAAUGUCAUGAAAAUGGAAUGUUUGAAGUUCAGAUAUUCUUUCUACAAAUGCAAUAAAAUAUUUAGAAUUUUUAGUUGGUUGAAUAGUGUUCCCCCCAAGUUCAUGUACUCCCAGAACCUCAGAAUGUGAGCAAAUUUAGUAAUAGAGUCUUUGCAAAUAUAAUCAAGGUAAGGAUUAAUAUAAGAUCAUACUGAAUUAUAGUGGUCCCUAAAUCCAAUAUCUGGUGUCCUUAAUAAGAGGAGGAAAGGACACAGACAUAAACAGGAAAAAAAAAAAGGCCAUGUAAAGAUGGAGGAAAAUAUUACAGUGAUGCAACUACAACCAGAAUGCCAAGGAUUGCCAGAAGCCACAAGAAGCAGGAAAGAAGCAAAUAAGGAUAUCUUCCCUAGAGUCUUCAGAGAGCCCAUAGACCUGAAAACACCUUGAUUUCAAACUUGUAGCCUCCAGAACUGUGGGACAAUUAAUUUCUGUUGUUUUAAGCAAUCUAGUUUGCAAUAAUUUAUAUUGUAACACUAGGAAACUAAUACAGGAUUUAAUAUAGAUAGCCAUUUUCAUAAUCAAGUAUUUUUUAGAAUUAUGUUAUCUGCACUCAUUCUUCCUCUUUAACCUCUUUUAUGGUAGAAAGGGAGAUGGACAAAGAGAACAAUUUGUUUUGUGAUGUUUGUAACAGUUGUAUUUGUUCAACAAAAAUUUGAGCACUGAAUCAGUUAGGAUGAUUUUGCCCAUGAGUAACAGAACCCCUACUAAAAGUGACUUAAGAUAUAAGGUUAUUUAAUAAACUGACAAGACUAGCAGUCCACUGAAAGCUUGUUUCAAAGUAGGUGUGCAAACGCAAUGACUUCUUCAAUAGCCCUCCUGCUCUGCCACCUCAGUAUAUUGGCUUUGGGAUUCUGAUUUGUUUCUCAUGGUAGCAGAAUGUCUGCUGAAGCUCCAAAUAUUAUAUGCUUGUCUUUUAUCAAGGAACACAUUCUUAGUAGCCUCCUAGAAGACAGCUUCUAAUAUUUGAUUGUCCAGGGUUUGGUCACAUGCCCAUUUCCAGACCAAUCACUGACAAACAGUACAGGAUUGCUAGAAUUAGUCAAGAUCAAUCACUGUUUGUCCAAGAGGGCUGGUGAUGUUGCUUCAGAAAAGGAGUUUGGGUUCUUUGAGCAAGGAAGAAAGAAUUGCCAGGUUAAAAGAUAGGCAUAUUUAAUUUGAAUAGGUGGAGCCAGAUUGCUUUCUAAAAGCAAAUCUCCAUCUAAACUCCCACCAGAAGAGCAUGAGGAUUCCUAUAUCCCCACACUUGGCAUUUCUCUUUUUUGUUUUUUUCCCAUUCUAAUAGGGGAAAAGUGAUAGUUCAGAUACGCAUUUAUCUGAUUACUAAUACUUUUGAACAUGUUUUCAUAUGCUUGUUAACCUUUCAGAUUUCCUCUUUUGUUAAUUACCUGUUCAUACUGUUUACCCAUUUUUAAGUUGUGUUUUCUAUCCCUUUUUUGGUCUAUUUGCAGUGAUUCCUCACAUAGUCCAGAUAUUUAAUCUUUUGUUGGCUUUAUAUAUUUCAGAUAAGUUCUCCCCACUCUGUCCUGGUCUUUCAACUUUUUCUUUUCUUUUCUUUUCUUUUUUGGUUUCUUUUUGAGACAGAGUUUCACUCUUGUUGCCCAGGCUGGAGUGCAAUGGCACGAUCUCAGCUCACUGCAACCUCCGCCUCCCGGGUUCAAGCGAUUCUCCUGCCUCAGCCUCCCGAGUAGCUGGGAUUAUAGGCAUGUGCCACCACACCCGGCUAAUUGCUGUACUUUUAGUAGAGACAGGGUUUCUCCAUGUUGGUCAGGCUGGUCUUGAAUGCCCGACCUCAGGUGAUCCACCCACCUCGGCCUCCCAAAGUGCUGGGAUUACAGGCGUGAGCCAUGGAGCCCAGCCCUCAACUUUUUCUAUGUUACCCUUCAUUGACCAGAAAUCCUUAAUUUAAUAAAAUUGAAGUAUGCAUACCUCAUGGAGUUAUCGUUAACUUUAAAUAUGAAGAUGUACCUAAACCUCUUGGCCAUAGUCGUAAGUACAAAGUAAGAACUCAAUGAAUAAAUCUCAAAUAUUAUUAAUUGUUAUGGUUGUUAUUCAUUUGACCCUACCAAUUCCAAAAGGAUUGCAACUCUCUUUUGUUCCCAUAACGCCCUACAUGUAUUUCUAUUGUGGCAUCUAUUAUAUUAUCUCACAUGGUGGACAGAUUGAAUUAUUUCCAGCCAAAGACAUCAAAGGUCUUAUUCAUUUUGUAAUCUUGUAUUCCCACGAUCUAGGACAAUGCUAAAAGGUGCUUAAUAAAUAUUUGUUAAAUAAAUAUACACACAAAUGAGUUUUCAAAGAAAUUCAAUGAAUAAAGAAUACU